Gasterosteus aculeatus aculeatus (three-spined stickleback) is the source of this 378-nucleotide long non-coding RNA. Lineage: Eukaryota; Metazoa; Chordata; Actinopteri; Perciformes; Gasterosteidae. The record is from Ensembl.
AAAAGACUGAAACAGACAGAUAAAGAGUGAUGUAAACACAAGACCGAGACAGAGAUACAGAAGGGAAAUGGGAAUACAGAAAAUAGGCAGGAGGGAAAAAAAAGCAUAAUUACAGUUACAAAGUUAGAACAGAAAGAGAUGAGAGACGAAACAGCUCAGACAGAGAUGGAUGACUGUAUCCGCUGUACACGUGCAAACACCGUGUUGCAAUGACGAUGAUGGGCCUGUCAUGUGACCAUGGCUGUGUGUCCAUUGCUGUGUGUCCAGAUGGCCAGAACACAGACCUCGCUGGAAUCACAACCAUCAGACAACAGCUAUAAUAGCGCUCUGUGUUUUGUGUGUGUGUGAUGCACGUGCAUUUUAAUUGUGCACUUUGAC